AGCGAACGCUGGCGGCAGGCCUAACACAUGCAAGUCGAACGAACUCUUCGGAGUUAGUGGCGGACGGGUGAGUAACACGUGGGAACGUGCCCCUUGGUACGGAAUAACUCAGGGAAACUUGAGCUAAUACCGUAUGUGCCCUUCGGGGGAAAGAUUUAUCGCCAUUGGAGCGGCCCGCGUCUGAUUAGCUAGUUGGUAAGGGAAAGGCUCACCAAGGCGACGAUCAGUAGCUGGUCUGAGAGGAGGAACAGCAACAUUGGGACUGAGACACGGCCCAAACUCCUACGGGAGGGAUCAGUGGGGAAUCUUGCGCAAUGGGCGAAAGCCUGACGCAGCCAUGCCGCGUGAAUUAUGAAGGUCUUAGGAUUGUAAAAUUCUUUCACCGGGGACGAUAAUGACGGUACCCGGAGAAGAAGCCCCGGCUAUCUUCGUGCCAGCCGCCGCCGUAA
This 449-nucleotide ribosomal RNA is filed under the name uncultured bacterium. Its description in RNAcentral is "partial 16S ribosomal RNA". It matches the Rfam family "Bacterial small subunit ribosomal RNA", at positions 29 to 523 of the family's 1533-position model. The record is from RNAcentral.